UACAGAGGUCUCAAGCGUUGUUCGGAAUCAUUGGGCGUAAAGAGCGUGUAGGCGGUCCGGUAAGUCCGCUGUGAAAGUCGGGGGCUCAACCCUCGAAUGCCGGUGGAUACUGUCGGGCUAGAGUGCGGAAGAGGCGAGUGGAAUUCCUGGUGUAGCGGUGAAAUGCGCAGAUAUCAGGAGGAACACCUAUUGCGAAGGCAGCUCGCUGGGACGUAACUGACGCUGAGACGCGAAAGCGUGGGGAGCAAACAGG
RNAcentral lists this ribosomal RNA (253 nucleotides) under uncultured bacterium. Its description in RNAcentral is "partial 16S ribosomal RNA". It matches the Rfam family "Bacterial small subunit ribosomal RNA", at positions 524 to 776 of the family's 1533-position model. The record is from RNAcentral.